UAUCAGAAACGGGUUUUAAGACUAUUUCCUUGUUUUGGUUUUUUUUUUUUCUGUAGAAUAUGAAUUCCUGUCAGUACAAAAACAAAAGGCUGCCUAAAUUAAAAGCAUUUUCCUUUAUAUUACAUGAAUCUAGUGCAGUCUGAAUUUUUUUUCCACACUACAAAUAUGCUGACAAGUUGUACUGAAAAAGGGAAGAAGACUUAAAAAAAAAAAAAAAAAAGGAACAAAAAUUAAAGACUAUAAAAAUGCAAGUGUUUCUUAUAAUCAAAUACCUGCUACAUGAACAGGAGGUAAUGAUCACAUUUGAAGGGUGUAAGCACUCCCAUCCAUAACAGCUGUUCCCACUCGGAGGGGGAAGGAAUGUAAAAGAAACUGGACACGUUUUGACUGGGGGAUGUUGGGAAUGAGAAAACUACAGUAGUUGGAAGAAUGCCCACAGCUGAUAACCUUCACCCAACCAGUUGAGAACUGCUUUAAAAUAUCUUCAGUAAGAUGAAAACAUAUACUCCAGUAAGGAAAUAAAGACUUUAAAAAGA
This is a long non-coding RNA of Leopardus geoffroyi (Geoffroy's cat), 536 nucleotides long. RefSeq lists it as uncharacterized. The transcript has 3 exons. The record is from RefSeq and is a predicted model, not a curated record. Lineage: Eukaryota; Metazoa; Chordata; Mammalia; Carnivora; Felidae.